GAUGAACGCUGGCGGCGUGCCUAAUACAUGCAAGUCGAGCGAACAGACGAGGAGCUUGCUCCUUCGACGUUAGCGGCGGACGGGUGAGUAACACGUAGGUAACCUACCUAUAAGACUGGGAUAACUUCGGGAAACCGGAGCUAAUACCGGAUAAUAUUUCGAACCGCAUGGUUCGAUAGUGAAUGAUGGCUUUGCUAUCACUUAUAGAUGGACCUGCGCCGUAUUAGCUAGUUGGUAAGGUAACGGCUUACCAAGGCAACGAUACGUAGCCGACCUGAGAGGGUGAUCGGCCACACUGGAACUGAGACACGGUCCAGACUCCCACGGGAGGCAGCAGUAGGGAAUCUUCCGCAAUGGGCGAAAGCCUGACGGAGCAACGCCGCGUGAGUGAUGAAGGUCUUCGGAUCGUAAGACUCUGUUAUUAGGGAAGAACAAACGUGUAAGUAACUGUGCACGUCUUGACGGUACCUAAUCAGAAAGCCACGGCUAACUACGUG
Molecule: ribosomal RNA, 497 nt
Filed under: uncultured bacterium
Lineage: Bacteria
Description: partial 16S ribosomal RNA
Rfam family: Bacterial small subunit ribosomal RNA
Source: RNAcentral